Molecule: long non-coding RNA, 574 nt
Organism: Gadus macrocephalus (Pacific cod)
Lineage: Eukaryota; Metazoa; Chordata; Actinopteri; Gadiformes; Gadidae
Exons: 3
Source: RefSeq, a predicted model, not a curated record
GAUAUACCGGUCGGGAUCUAAUCAGUACCACUACUCCCCCAAGGCUGUCAGAGAGCUCAGAAUGAUUGCAGAGGCACUUGAAGAAAAGGUGUUGAAGCCAUCAAAUCUACACGGCGCCCGCUGGCUUCCCUAUGUGCAUCGUGCAAUCAAGAUUGUUUGUGACAGCUAUCCUGUACUGAUCGCACAUUUUGAAGACAUGGCGUCUGUGGAGAGGUUCCCUAAGCCUUCAGCUGCAGUUCUCUGCAGGGCCAAACAGGUUCAGGCAGUGUGGUGUCGAUGAGAUGAGGGAGAUGGCCACGUUCUAUCAGGAGCUAUUGAGACAAGCUGGCAUUGAAGUCGAUGAGGUUUUAGCAGAGUACAACCACUACAAGAUCUUUGCCAAGGGACGAGCAGCAGUGCCAAUGAGGGAGCUCUUCAUGAGUGUCUUGCAGUCAGGUGUGAAUAUAGUGUACAAUGUGUGACAGAUUGGUAAAGUGCCAAGUUAUCUUAGGAGAAUUUUUAUAUAGAGCAGUUCAACAAUGUUCAUCUUUAAAUAUUAUUUAAAACAACAACUGGGAGUCAGGUGUGUGACAAA